AUGAUGAUUUUGAAAAAUAGAAUAAUUGGAGACCACUUGUUAUGAAUUAAAUUUAUGAAUCUAAUGGCUUAUGACAGUAUUUGCAUGAAUGACUGAAUUGGUAUUGGUGUUGAAAUAUAUAAAAUGUGUAUUUAGCCUUGAAAGGCUGUGAAUUAUAAUAAUUGUCAUGUCAUGCUAGAAUGAAUUUUAUUGAUUGGUGGAUUAUAUAUUAAUUAAUCACUGCAGUAGGGGGUUUCUGUGGAUCAGCCUUUUAGAGGGGCACGGUAUACCCCAUUAUAUUCUUACCUCAAACGGAGAGGCGUGUAGGGUAUCUCUUGGGGUAAAGCUUAGGGUUCACUUCACGCCAAACCACCACGUGAAGGGAAACUCAGUCAACGCCAAGGAACGGC
This 389-nucleotide long non-coding RNA is filed under the name Theobroma cacao (cacao). RNAcentral's name for it is "long non-coding RNA (TCAC_LNC005475)". The record is from RNAcentral. Lineage: Eukaryota; Viridiplantae; Streptophyta; Magnoliopsida; Malvales; Malvaceae.